AUGAUACUUGUAUAUUGUGAACCGUUAAUCGUGAGAGCCAACUGCGGAGAGAUGAAACCUUAUGUUAUGUGAAGAAAUCAAUUGAAUUAAACCUGAUGACGAUCCCUCAUGAUUAUCGUUAAAAUUCGGCCUUAGGUUUUGAUGUUUCACGUUCACCAUUUCAAAUUAUAUAGAUAGAUUGAUACAGCAAUUAAAGGGCCAAGAGAGGGAGAGAAACAAAUUAAAUAAAAAAGACUUGUUGAUUAGCUUUCAUCUUUCUUCCUUCGUAGGAGGGCAGAUGAGAUCAUCUUCAUGGAGAAGCCAAUGGAAUUAGAGAAAGAUAAGUGAAAAUGAAGUCUAAGAUGGGAGAAUUAGAAUUGUUGGGAGGGAAUACGAAAAUUUUUAGGGAAUCACAUUGGACUAUAGGAGGGAAAACACAUUUUUAG
This 425-nucleotide long non-coding RNA is filed under the name Helianthus annuus (common sunflower). Lineage: Eukaryota; Viridiplantae; Streptophyta; Magnoliopsida; Asterales; Asteraceae. The record is from RNAcentral.